GUUAUUGUCACUUCCUACGCUGGCUCAGACCGUUCGAGUUUGGAUCUGAAAUAGCCUUUACCGUGAAACCGCAGUCGUAAUCUAUCGCAUGUAAUGUCUACAGCUUAGUUAAGCUCACGGAGUCGGCUGUAUCGCCAUGUUUGCGGAGUGGGCUUAUAAUAUCUCGACGGCCUGUGGUGUGGCGCGGAUUGUAUCUUGUUUGCGA
Non-coding RNA from Paramuricea clavata, 205 nucleotides. NCBI's taxonomy places the organism in Eukaryota, Metazoa, Cnidaria, Anthozoa, Malacalcyonacea, Plexauridae. The record is from the annotation of a GenBank genome assembly.